GAAAAUUAUUGCUAUUAGAUGAGCCUAUAUUAGAUUAGCUAGUUGGUGGAGUAAUAGCCUACCAAGGCAAUGAUCUAUAGCUGAUCUGAGAGGAUGAUCAGCCACACUGGAACUGAGAUACGGUCCAGACUCCUACGGGAGGCAGCAGUGGGGAAUAUUGGACAAUGGGCGAAAGCCUGAUCCAGCCAUGCCGCAUGAGUGAAGAAGGCCUUUGGGUUGUAAAGCUCUUUUAGUGAGGAAGAUAAUGACGGUACUCACAGAAGAAGUCCUGGCUAACUCCGUGCCAGCAGCCGCGGUAAUACGGAGAGGGCUAGCGUUAUUCGGAAUUAUUGGGCGUAAAGGGCGCGUAGGCUGAUUAAUAAGUUAAAAGUGAAAUCCCGAGGCUUAACCUUGGAAUUGCUUUUAAAACUAUUAAUCUAGAGAUUGAAAGAGGAUAGAGGAAUUCCUGAUGUAGAGGUAAAAUUCGUAAAUAUUAGGAGGAACACCAGUGGCGAAGGCGUCUAUCUGGUUCAAAUCUGACGCUGAAGCGCGAAGGCGUGGGGAGCAAACAGGAUUAGAUACCCUGGUAGUCCACGCUGUAAACGAUGAAUGUUAAAUAUGGGAAGUUUACUUUCUUACA
This 619-nucleotide ribosomal RNA is filed under the name Wolbachia endosymbiont of Bemisia tabaci. RNAcentral describes it as "bacterial SSU rRNA". It matches the Rfam family "Bacterial small subunit ribosomal RNA", at positions 202 to 845 of the family's 1533-position model. Lineage: Bacteria; Pseudomonadati; Pseudomonadota; Alphaproteobacteria; Rickettsiales; Anaplasmataceae. The record is from RNAcentral.